UACGUAGGGGGCAAGCGUUGUCCGGAAUCAUUGGGCGUAAAGAGCGCGUAGGCGGCCCUGUAAGUCCGCUGUGAAAGUCAAGGGCUCAACCCUUGGAUGCCGGUGGAUACUGCAGGGCUAGAGUCCGGAAGAGGAGAGUGGAAUUCCUGGUGUAGCGGUGGAAAUGCGCAGAUAUCAGGAGGAACACCAAUAGCGAAGGCAGCUCGCUGGGACGUUACUGACACUGAGGCGCGAAAGCGUGGGAGCGAACAGG
This 253-nucleotide ribosomal RNA is filed under the name uncultured bacterium. RNAcentral's name for it is "partial 16S ribosomal RNA". It matches the Rfam family "Bacterial small subunit ribosomal RNA", at positions 524 to 776 of the family's 1533-position model. The record is from RNAcentral.